This 312-nucleotide unclassified non-coding RNA is filed under the name plant metagenome. RNAcentral describes it as "partial contains 5.8S ribosomal RNA, internal transcribed spacer 2, and large subunit ribosomal RNA". The stretch from base 1 to 105 matches the Rfam family "5.8S ribosomal RNA", at positions 50 to 154 of the family's 154-position model. The record is from RNAcentral.
GAAACGCGAUAGUUAAUGUGAAUUGCAGAAUUCAGUGAAUCAUCGAGUCUUUGAACGCACAUUGCGCCCUCUGGCAUUCCGGGGGGCAUGCCUGUCCGAGCGUCAUUACGCACCAUCAAGCCCGGCUUGUGUGAUGGGCCCCGGCGUCUCGUUCGCGAGACGGGCCCGAAAGGCAGCGGCGGCGUCGACCCGAUGAGCCCGAGCGUAUGGGGACUUCUGUCACACGUUCGCGGUGCGGACCGGCGCCUGCUUGACUUUUCUGAUUAUCCAGGUUGACCUCGGAUCAGGUAGGGAUACCCGCUGAACUUAAGC